Monodelphis domestica (gray short-tailed opossum) is the source of this 2308-nucleotide non-coding RNA. NCBI's taxonomy places the organism in Eukaryota, Metazoa, Chordata, Mammalia, Didelphimorphia, Didelphidae. The record is from RefSeq and is a predicted model, not a curated record.
GAAUCUUGUCACUUGGGUUCUCAAAUGGCAAGCUUAGAGAUCGGGGCUCUGAGUGGAAAGAGCUUUCAAGAUAAUCUAGUUUAAUGACCCUGGAUCUUUGCCCUUGCUUGCCUGCAGACUGUGUCGAGGCCAGCUGCCUCAUGGCCCUCUCAUGCUCUGCUCGCAGAUGCUUCUGGACAGAAUUAUCAAGCAUGGAGUGAUUAAAGGAACUGAUGUCCAGAGAAACAAAGAAGCUUGCCAGAAGUUACCCAAGUAGCAAGUGUCAGAGGUGGUCUCUGUGAGUGAGUGAUCUCUUAUCAGGGAAUUCUUAGCUUUGACUUGGCCCUAGGCUUCUGAACCUGAAAUUGCAACUCAUUCAGACUAAUUCUCUGGAAUAUGAAAGCAUGAAUCCAAUGGGGGCCUGGAUAUUCCUUUCAGCAUCCAGAGGAUAUCUCCACAUUUUGGCCUCUAGAAAUUUAGAGACAAAAUUCAUGUUGUUGAUACAGCAACUGAAGAAAAGAUGAGACAGUUCAUUCCACCCAAGUCAAACCACCAUCAACAACAACUCAACCAUCACUUCCUCUACAACAUGAAAUAUCUUCAGGAGAUUCUGAACCCUGGAAUCUAGAACUCUGUACUUAGUAGUCUUGGAAAUAGCAACAACCUAAGGGUUACCAAUAUUAUUUCUAGUCUGGGCCAUAAUUAAAGAGAGAAAUCACUGAAAAUAAGGUGCCCACCUUAUCUGCCACUGUCAAUAUCUGUUGCUGAUUGGCUGCCAACAAUGGGCAAGAAAGCCUAACAGCUCUGGAAGUGACAGCAUCCUCUACACCAAUGGUCCUGUUUCCAGCUCCUUACUUGCAAUCAUCAUCCUCGGAAGCAAUCCCUGUGGAGAAAACGCCUGAUGACUGCCUCAAGUUCAGAGGAAGAAGAGAUGGCUUCCAGAGGGGAGAAUCAGAUGAAUUUAAAGCAAGUCAAAAGAUCAAUUCAUCAGCAUGUAAAAAAGAAGGAGCCAUCAGGACCAGGAAGAUUUAACCCUUUCUGACAUUCCUGUACUGGUUCCCAUAUCAGGACUGUUCACCUGGAGCUCACUGGCUGUCUUCAAUCAAAGGGAUGCUAUCUGGCUAUAAGUCCUGGAAUCCUGAAAUCUCUAAAGAAUCAAAAUUGUACCCAACCCAAAGGGCAAUGGAGAGUAUAAAUAGGCUCAAUAUUACCCAUAGUGACCUGCACAAAAGAAACGGCAUAAAAUACAUCAUCCAGUUAAUGGACAAUCAGAAAAGGAGACGGGAUUGUCAUUUAAUGAGAUUGAGAGAUAAUAAAUAGAUGGUCCAAGAGCUAUAUUGAUAUCAAGAGAAUAUUGAAUUGGUAUGGAGGGAGACCUAAGCAAUUGGGUAAAUUCUACACAGGACUUAUGGGAGAUUGUGGACAAGUUUGAAACAGAGCAAAAAGACAUAUAAAGGUUGUAAUCUGUACCACUGAUGGAAAUGUCUAUGUUGAUGAGAUCACUGAUCUAUUAAAAUAUUUAGUCAUUAAAGUAUUGAAAAUUGAAUAGAUUUUGAUAGGCUCAUCACAUUAAGCUAUGUAGAGUUUGUUGGGAAUUAAAUUACAAAUUGUUUUUUCAUGAAGAGGGAAAGGAAUAGGCAUUUAUUAAGUAACUGCUAUGUGACAGGCACUGAGAUAAAUUCUUUAAAAAUAUCUCAUUUGAUUCUCAUAAUCUCCCUAUGAGCUAAAUCUUAUGAUUUCUAUUUUAUAGUUGAAGAUAUUGAGCCAGUCAAAGGUUAAGUGGUUUCCCCAGGAUCACUCAGCUAGUAGGUAUUUGAGGUCAAAUUUGAAUUCAGUUCUUCCUGACUCCAGAGUAUUAUCCAGCUCUAUCCAUUAAACCAACUAGCUGUUUCUAUUUGGUUGUAUCUUUUCCCCCCUUUUAUUAAACCCUUCCCUUCCAUCUUAGAAUCAAUACCAUGUAUUGGUUCCAAGGCAGAAGAGCAGUAAGGGUGAGGCAAUGGGGUUAAGUGACUUGCCCAGGAUGACACAGCUAGGAAGUGUCUGAAAUCAGAUUUGAACUUGGGACCUUCCAUCUCUAGGCCUGGCUAUCAAUACAUGGAGUCACCUAGCUGCCCCGGUUGUAUCUUCCUUAUCCCAUACUUAUACAGUUGUAGUUGUUUUUUAGCCUAACAGCAAUAUUUUACAUGAAACCUUAUUAACUUUAAAAAUCACAUUUGUUCUGUUAUUUCAUAUUUGCCAAAUCUUUUUGGAUCCCUUUCCUCCCAUGUAGCUUGUGAGUUGUCUCUCCCAGAGAAUAGAACAAAUAUGUCCUCCACAAAUUUGAUAAGAA